UGGCUCAGUUGGUAGAGCAUGGUGUUUGCAAUGCCAGCAUGGUGUGUGCAACGCCAGGGUUGUGGGUUCGAGUCCCAC
Molecule: transfer RNA, 78 nt
Filed under: Salmo salar (Atlantic salmon)
Lineage: Eukaryota; Metazoa; Chordata; Actinopteri; Salmoniformes; Salmonidae
Also listed under: 1 other name
Rfam family: tRNA
About the family: Transfer RNA (tRNA) molecules are approximately 80 nucleotides in length. Their secondary structure includes four short double-helical elements and three loops (D, anti-codon, and T loops).
Source: Rfam by way of RNAcentral